CCGCCCCUGACCCGACUCCCUGCAUAAUAUUUUCCUAGAUUACUUUGUGAAAAACAGCCAUUGAUUGUUGUAUUUGAAGUAGAAUCUAUAAUCUAGGGUUUUAGUUUGGGAGUAACUCCGUUGUUGAAGAAGAGAGAAGAAGAGUUCUUUUCCUUUUUUGGUAACUAAUAAUUUUAUUAAUCACCAAGAGAAAAGCAUUACAGACUGCAACCCAACUUUAUAUCUCAGUGGGCUGCUCAAGUGUAAUUCUCAGUAAACCAGAUAGCAAUCAAAGCUAAUCUAGCAACAGAAAUCAAAACAUGUAGUUCUGUCCAAGGUUUCGGAUACCAGGGGAAGCUCGAAUGUUGCACAUAUAUGCAACUUCUCUAGCAAUGAUGUCCCAUCCAGUAGCUCACUUGUCAAAAACUCUCUUAUUUCUUUCCAUCCAAAUUCCAUGCAUUACUUCCGCGUACAGCAUUCUGAAUAUUCUAGCAGCCGGUGACUUCCCUUUAGCAUUUCUGAUAGCCCAGUGCAAGUGAGUGUCCCAAUUACCAACAACAACAACAUGCCUAGUAGAAUCCCGCAAUGUGGGGUCUGGGGAGGGUAGAGUGUACGCAGACCUUACCCCCAUCUUGAAAGGUAUGGAAGUUGUUUCCGAAAGACCCUCGGCUCAAGAGAGAAAACAAGACCUUACCCCCACCUUGAGUGUCCCAAUUACCAUUUGGGAAAUUACCCUUCUGUGCCUAGUUAAGAAUUCUUAUCCACAUCAGUUUGGUAUAUUGACACUCAACAAAAAGGUGGUCCCUAGUCUUAGGAGCUUGCUGGCAUAAUGUGCAGAUAGGAUCCACCGAUAAUCCCCAUUUGAUUAACCUAUCCAAUGUGCGCAUUUUGCCUUGCAACAUUAACCACAUGGUAAACUUUGCCCUUGGUCUUCCACCAUUCCUAAAAAUCAGUGGUUUCCAUUCGACUCUAGGAUAAUCACCCAUCAUCUAGAAGUAAAUUUGACUAGUGAGGCUUUAUUUAUCAGUGAAGUUACAUUGUCCCAGUAGAGUUUGGUUAUGGCAGCUCUGUUCCAACAAUUCAGGUUGAACAAGUUCAACCCUCCUCCCGCUCUAGCUUCUCUGGUAAAAUGAGCAGCUGCUGCUGGUCUAUGUUCAGCAUUUGGUUUGAAAUUUCCACUUCCAGGUACACUCAGAUCAAUAGAAGCCAAUAUAGAAGAUGCUUCAGCGGUGUUGGCAAGCUCCACUUGUUCCUGGAGUGCUGCCGAGUCAGAGUACAUAUGCUAUGAUGUUGUGUUCAAAGUUAGAGACUUUGCAGACAGAGUCGUGGGUAUAGUACGUCGGUCUUGAAAGCGGCUUCAGCAGCCGAUGUGUCAUACUGUGUUAUGUGUUAAGUUCCAAAUGAUUACAGAUUUUGUCUGACUUGAGAACGAAGGAAAGGAAUAUUUUGAAAGUUUU
Lycium barbarum (goji berry) is the source of this 1436-nucleotide long non-coding RNA. RefSeq lists it as uncharacterized. The transcript is spliced from 4 exons. The record is from RefSeq and is a predicted model, not a curated record. NCBI's taxonomy places the organism in Eukaryota, Viridiplantae, Streptophyta, Magnoliopsida, Solanales, Solanaceae.